This 327-nucleotide ribosomal RNA is filed under the name Bacillus amyloliquefaciens. RNAcentral's name for it is "bacterial SSU rRNA". It matches the Rfam family "Bacterial small subunit ribosomal RNA", at positions 1 to 317 of the family's 1533-position model. The record is from RNAcentral. Lineage: Bacteria; Bacillati; Bacillota; Bacilli; Caryophanales; Bacillaceae.
UUUAUCGGAGAGUUUGAUCCUGGCUCAGGACGAACGCUGGCGGCGUGCCUAAUACAUGCAAGUCGAGCGGACAGAUGGGAGCUUGCUCCCUGAUGUUAGCGGCGGACGGGUGAGUAACACGUGGGUAACCUGCCUGUAAGACUGGGAUAACUCCGGGAAACCGGGGCUAAUACCGGAUGCUUGUUUGAACCGCAUGGUUCAAACAUAAAAGGUGGCUUCGGCUACCACUUACAGAUGGACCCGCGGCGCAUUAGCUAGUUGGUGAGGUAACGGCUCACCAAGGCGACGAUGCGUAGCCGACCUGAGAGGGUGAUCGGCCACACUGGG